This 2789-nucleotide ribosomal RNA is filed under the name Actinomycetota bacterium. Its description in RNAcentral is "Actinobacteria bacterium partial 23S ribosomal RNA". It matches the Rfam family "Bacterial large subunit ribosomal RNA". The record is from RNAcentral. Lineage: Bacteria; Bacillati; Actinomycetota.
CCGGCUUGGGGGGAAGUUAUAAAAUCGCGUGGUAGUCGAACAGUCUGGGAUGGCUGGCCGUAGACGGUGAUAGCCCGGUAGGUGAAACUGCGUGGUCUUCCGGUGGCAUGUCCCGAGUAGCGCGGGGCUCGUGGAAUCUCGUGUGAAUCUGCCAGGACCACCUGGUAAGCCUGAAUAUUCCUCGGUGACCGAUAGUGCACGAGUACCGUGAGGGAAAGGUGAAAAGUGCCCCGGUGAGGGGUUGUGAAAGAGUACCUGAAACCAUGUGCCUACAAGCCAUCAGAGCCUGUUCACAAACUUGUUUGUGAUGCCGGGUGAUGGUGUGCCUUUUGAAGAAUGAGCCUGCGAGUUGUGGUGUGUGGCGAGGUUAACCCGUGUGGGGGAGCCGUAGGGAAACCGAAUCCGAACAGGGUGUUGCCAUUGAUUUGGUAGAUAGUCGCAUGCUGCAGACCCGAAGCGGGGUGAUCUACCCAUGGGCAGGUUGAAGCGCGGGUAAGACCGUGUGGAGGGCCGAACCCACCAGGGUUGAAAACCUGGGGGAUGAUCUGUGGGUAGGGGUGAAAGGCCAAUCAAACUCCGUGAUAGCUGGUUCUCCCCGAAAUGCAUUUAGGUGCAGCGUCACGUGUUGUGUUUGCUGGAGGUAGGGCUCUGGUUGGCUGAUGGGCCCGACAAGGUUACUGACGUCAGCCAAACUUCGAAUGCCAGUCAAAUUUCAGCGUGGCAGUGAGACUGCGGGGGAUAAGCUUCGUAGUCGAGAGGGAAACAGCCCAGAUCGCCGGUUAAGGCCCCUAAGUGUGUGCUUAGUGGUGAAGGAUGUGGAGUUGCUGUGACAACCAGGAGGUUGGCUUAGAAGCAGCCAUCCUUGAAAGAGUGCGUAAUAGCUCACUGGUCAAGUGAUUCCGCGCCGAGAAUGUAGCGGGGCUCAAGUACACCGCCGAAACCGCGACGGUGACCGGGGAUUCGUCUUUGGUUGCCGGGUAGGGGAGCGUCCCUCACAGCGUUGAAGCAGCCGGGUGACCGUGUUGUGGAGUGUGGGGGAGUGAGAAUGCAGGCAUGAGUAGCGAAUCCAACGUGAGAAUCGUUGGCGCCGAUUGACUAAGGGUUCCUGGGGCAGGUUCAUCCGCCCAGGGUGAGUCGGGGCCUAAGGCGAGGCCGACAGGCGUAGUCGAUGGACAACGGGUUGAUAUUCCCGUACCCGUGCACACGCGCCCAGACCGAACCCCCGGACACUAACCGUGGUGAAGCCGGCUGGAUCUCCUUCGGGGGACCGGCGGGUGGAUGGCGGGACCUGAUGGGGUUGUAGGUGAGUGAUGGGGUGACGCAGGAGGGUAGCUCUACCAGGUGAUGGUUUCCUGGGGUAAGCCUGUAGCCCGACCGGUAGGCAAAUCCGCCGGUCAUCAGGGGUGAGGGGUGAUGCCGAGCCGAUUUUGGUGAAGUGAGUGAUCCCGUGCUGCCGAGAAAAGCCUCUAGCGAGUGUGUGUGCGGCCCGUACCCGAAACCGACGCAGGUGGUCAGGUAGAGAAUACCGAGGCGAUCGGGUGAACCGUGGUUAAGGAACUCGGCAAAUUGUCCCCGUAACUUUGGGAGAAGGGGAGCCCCGUCCGGUGAACCCACAUGCUGGGGGAGCGGGGUGGGGUCGCAGAGGCCAGGGGGAAGCGACUGUUUACUAAAAACACAGGUCCGUGCGAAGUCGUAAGACGCUGUAUACGGACUGACGCCUGCCCGGUGCCGGAACGUUAACAGGACCGGUUAGCCCUUCGGGGUGAAGCUGAGAAUGUAAGCGCCGGUAAACGGCGGUGGUAACUAUAACCAUCCUAAGGUAGCGAAAUUCCUUGUCGGGUAAGUUCCGACCUGCACGAAUGGCGUAACGACUUCCCCGCUGUCUCAACCACGGGCCCGGUGAAAUUGCAUUACGAGUAAAGAUGCUCGUUACGCGCAGCAGGACGGAAAGACCCCGGGACCUUCACUACAGCUUGGUAUUGGCGUUUGGGGCGGUUUGUGUAGGAUAGGUGGGAGACCGUGAAGCGGUGACGCUAGUUACCGUGGAGUCGUUGGUGAAAUACCACUCUGGUCGUUUUGAACGUCUAACCCGCGCCCCUUAUCGGGGUGGGGGACAGUGCCUGGUGGGUAGUUUAACUGGGGCGGUUGCCUCCUAAAGGGUAACGGAGGCGCCCAAAGGUUCCCUCAGCCUGGUUGGCAAUCAGGUGUUGAGUGUAAGUGUAUAAGGGAGCUUGACUGUGAGACCGACGGGUCGAGCAGGUGCGAAAGCAGGGACUAGUGAUCCGGCACUCCCGUGUGGAAGGGGUGUCGCUCAACGGCUAAAAGGUACCCCGGGGAUAACAGGCUGAUCUUGCCCAAGAGUCCAUAUCGACGGCAAGGUUUGGCACCUCGAUGUCGGCUCGUCGCAUCCUGGGGCUGGAGUUGGUCCCAAGGGUUGGGCUGUUCGCCCAUUAAAGCGGCACGCGAGCUGGGUUUAGAACGUCGUGAGACAGUUCGGUCCCUAUCCGCUGCGCGCGCAGGAGACUUGUGAGGGCCUGUCCCUAGUACGAGAGGACCGGGAUGGACGGACCUCUGGUGUGCCAGUUGUACCGCCAGGUGCACGGCUGGUUGGCCACGUCCGGACGGGAUAACCGCUGAAAGCAUCUAAGCGGGAAGCCUUCCUCAAGAUGAGGUCUCCCACCAACUAGAUUGGGUAAGGCCCCCGGGAGACCACCGGGUUGAUAGGCCAGACAUGCAAGCGUGGCAACACGUUCAGUGGACUGGUACUAAUAGGCCGAGGACUUAACCAA